Molecule: long non-coding RNA, 924 nt
Filed under: Homo sapiens (human)
Lineage: Eukaryota; Metazoa; Chordata; Mammalia; Primates; Hominidae
Description: non-protein coding lnc-UBASH3A-6:2
Source: RNAcentral
ACCACACACACACCACACUACACACCAUACACUAUACACAUACCACACUACACAGUACACACCACACACACUACACACCACACAGUACACACUGCACACCACACUACACACUACCCACCACACACUACACACACACCACACUACACACUACACACCACACAUACUACACACCACACACUAAACACAUACGACACUACACACUACACACCACACACUACACACACACCACACUACACAGUACACACCACACACUACACACACACCACACUACACACUACACACCACACACACUACACACCACACACUACACACUACACACCACACACGGUACACACCACACACUACACACACACCACACUACACACUACACACCACACACUGCAUACACACACUACACACUACACACCACACACACACCACACUACACACCAUACACUACACACAUACCACACUACACAGUACACACCACACACACUACACACCACACAGUACACACUACACACCACACUACACACUACCCACCACACACUACACACACACCACACUACACACUACACACCACACAUACUACACACCACGCACUACACACAUACCACACUACACACUACACACCACACACUACACACACACCACACUACACAGUACACACCACACCACACACUACACACACAUCACACUACACACUACCCACCACACAUACUACACACCACGCACUACACACAUACCACACUACACACUACACACCACACACUACACACAUACCACACUACACAGUACACACCACACUACACACUACACACCACACACACACCACACACACUACACACCACACACUACACACGCACCACACUACACACUACACACCACACACUACACAUACACCACACUACACACUACACACAAAUACUACAUACACACACCACA